This 477-nucleotide ribosomal RNA is filed under the name uncultured bacterium. Its description in RNAcentral is "partial 16S ribosomal RNA". It matches the Rfam family "Bacterial small subunit ribosomal RNA", at positions 29 to 523 of the family's 1533-position model. The record is from RNAcentral.
AGCAAACGCUGGCGGCGUGCCUAAUACAUGCAAGUCGAACGGGGAAAGUAGCAAUACGAGUACUAGUGGCGCACGGGUGAGGAACACGUGGGUAAUCUGCCUUCGAGCGGGGGAUAACUAGUCGAAAGAUUAGCUAAUACCGCAUAAGACCACAAUGUCUGAGGACAAAGGGGUCAAAGUCGCAAGACACUUGAAGAUGAGCCCGCGUAAGAUUAGCUAGUUGGUGAGGUAAUGGCUCACCAAGGCGAUGAUCUUUAGCUGGUCUGAGAGGAUGAUCAGCCACACUGGAACUGAGACACGGUCCAGACUCCUACGGGAGGCAGCAGUAGGGAAUAUUGCGCAAUGGGGGAAACCCUGACGCAGCGACGCCGCGUGAGUGAUGAAGGCCUUCGGGUCGUAAAGCUCUUUUGUGCGGGAAGAUAAUGACGGUACCGCAAGAAUAAGCCCCGGCUAACUUCGUGCCAGCCGCCGCCGUAA